RNAcentral lists this ribosomal RNA (256 nucleotides) under uncultured bacterium. Its description in RNAcentral is "partial 16S ribosomal RNA". It matches the Rfam family "Bacterial small subunit ribosomal RNA", at positions 521 to 776 of the family's 1533-position model. The record is from RNAcentral.
UAAUACGUAGGUGGCAAGCGUUGUCCGGAUUUACUGGGUGUAAAGGGCGUGUAGGCGGGAUGGAAAGUCAGAUGUGAAAUACCGAGGCUCAACCUCGGGGCUGCAUUUGAAACUUCCAUUCUUGAGUGCAGGAGAGGAAAGCGGAAUUCCUAGUGUAGCGGUGAAAUGCGUAGAUAUUAGGAGGAACACCAGUGGCGAAGGCGGCUUUCUGGACUGUAACUGACGCUGAGGCGCGAAAGCAUGGGGAGCGAACAGG